Molecule: ribosomal RNA, 493 nt
Filed under: uncultured bacterium
Lineage: Bacteria
Description: bacterial SSU rRNA
Rfam family: Bacterial small subunit ribosomal RNA
Source: RNAcentral
AGUGAACGCUGGCGGCAGGCCUAAUACAUGCAAGUCGAACGGCAGCACAGCAGAGCUUGCUCUGUGGGUGGCGAGUGGCGGACGGGUGAGGAAUACAUGGGAAUCUGCCCAGUCGUGGGGGAUAACGUAUGGAAACGUACGCUAAUACCGCAUGCGCCCUACGGGGGAAAGUCGGGGACCGCAAGGCCUGACGCGAUUGGAUGAGCCCAUGUUCGAUUAGCUAGUUGGCGGGGUAAAGGCCCACCAAGGCGACGAUCGAUAGCUGGUCUGAGAGGAUGAUCAGCCACACUGGAACUGAGACACGGUCCAGACUCCUACGGGAGGCAGCAGUAGGGAAUAUUGGACAAUGGGGGCAACCCUGAUCCAGCCAUGCCGCGUGAGUGAAGAAGGCCCUCGGGUUGUAAAGCUCUUUUGUCCGGAAGAAAAGCAAUCGGUUAAUACCCGGUUGUUCUGACGGUACCGGAAGAAUAAGCACCGGCUAACUUCGUGCCAG